This 200-nucleotide unclassified non-coding RNA is filed under the name uncultured Chaetomium. RNAcentral's name for it is "sequence contains ITS2". Lineage: Eukaryota; Fungi; Ascomycota; Sordariomycetes; Sordariales; Chaetomiaceae. The record is from RNAcentral.
UUAAGUUCAGCGGGUCUUCCUACCUGAUCCGAGGUCAACCUUGGGUUAGAAAGGUCGUUUAACGGCCGGAACCCGCAGCACGCCCUGAGCGAGAUGAUAUUACUACGCUCGGUGUGACAGCGAGCCCGCCACUGGUUUUCAGGGCCUGCGGCAGCCGCAGGUCCCCAACACAAGCCGGGGGCUUGAUGGGUGAAAUGACG